RNAcentral lists this ribosomal RNA (253 nucleotides) under uncultured bacterium. RNAcentral describes it as "partial 16S ribosomal RNA". It matches the Rfam family "Bacterial small subunit ribosomal RNA", at positions 524 to 776 of the family's 1533-position model. The record is from RNAcentral.
UACGUAGGGUGCAAGCGUUGUCCGGAAUUAUUGGGCGUAAAGAGCUCGUAGGCGGUCUGUCGCGUCUGCUGUGAAAACUCAGGGCUUAACCCUGAGCUUGCAGUGGGUACGGGCAGACUAGAGUGCGGUAGGGGAGACUGGAAUUCCUGGUGUAGCGGUGAAAUGCGCAGAUAUCAGGAGGAACACCGAUGGCGAAGGCGGCUCACUGGACCGGAACUGACGCUGAGGCGCGAAAGCGUGGGGAGCAAACGGG